Molecule: ribosomal RNA, 466 nt
Filed under: uncultured bacterium
Lineage: Bacteria
Description: partial 16S ribosomal RNA
Rfam family: Bacterial small subunit ribosomal RNA
Source: RNAcentral
CUACGGGUCGCUCCAGUGGGGAAUAUUGGACAAUGGGGGAAACCCUGAUCCAGCAAUGCCGCGUGUGUGAAGAAGGCCUGCGGGUUGUAAAGCACUUUCGGUUGGGAGGACUGCUUCUAGCACUAAUAUUGUUGGAAGUUGACGUUACCUUCAGAAGAAGCACCGGCUAGCUCCGUGCCAGCAGCCGCGGUAAUACGGAGGGUGCAAGGCGUUAAUCGGAAUUACUGGGCGUAAAGCGCGCGUAGGCGGCUAGAUCAGUCGGGUGUGAAAGCCCCGGGCUUAACCUGGGAACUGCAUCCGAUACUGUCUAGCUUGAGUACAGGAGAGGAGAGUGGAAUUCCACAUGUGGCGGUGAAAUGCGUAGAUAUGUGGAGGAACACCAAUGGCGAAGGCAGCUCUCUGGCCUGAUACUGACGCUGAGGUGCGAAAGCGUGGGGAGCAAACAGGGUUAGAUACCCUGGUAGUC